UACGGGGGGCGCAAGCGUUACUCGGCAUUACUGGGCGUAAAGCGCGCGUAGGCGGCUUUGUAAGUUAGAGGUGAAAGCCCGGAGCUCAACUCCGGAACUGCCUUUAAGACUGCAUCGCUAGAAUUGUGGAGAGGUAAGUGGAAUUCCGAGUGUAGAGGUGAAAUUCGUAGAUAUUCGGAAGAACACCAGUGGCGAAGGCGACUUACUGGACACAUAUUGACGCUGAGGUGCGAAAGCGUGGGGAGCAAACAGG
This 253-nucleotide ribosomal RNA is filed under the name uncultured bacterium. Its description in RNAcentral is "partial 16S ribosomal RNA". It matches the Rfam family "Bacterial small subunit ribosomal RNA", at positions 524 to 776 of the family's 1533-position model. The record is from RNAcentral.